AUUGAUCUACUGCACCUCAGACAGCUUUAUCAGUGCGAGAGAGAUUGGGUCACCUUUAUACUUUCUUACUUACCAUCAUCAAUUUGUCUAUUAUUUGACUUCUUCAGCUGUUGCCUUUCUGACCUUCCACAAGUACAAGUAUGGUAUUUGCCAUUAUCUAAUUGGAAAGCAUGUUUCCCUUUCACUCAUAUUUUUUCUCUCAUUCUCAGCAAGAUCCAGAUUCUGCUGCUGCUAUGGAUCAGAAAGGUCACAGGAGGCACCCGUGGGCUUAUUUAUGGGUACACAGCCAGCCUGAGCCUGAGCAAGUGCCCAAUGAAAGAACUUGGCGUUAUACCAGAUACUAAGAAAGAAAAAUCAACUCUGUCUCACCUGAACCAGGACAGUGGGAGAAUACCUGAAGAAGAGAGCUACCUCCAUGCAUCAAGUCAGGAAGACAGAAGUGCUAGACAUCUCCUGGAGAAAGAAAAGCAUUUGGAUAGGCUAAAUCUCCAGUUUGCACAGACAUGUGGCAAAUACAUAGUCCCUUGUGGAAAAUCUAGGCUGGUUCAUUGCCUUCAGAUUGCCAGUGAGGCCUGGCAAUAACACAAGCCAACUGAUGAUGAGAAUUUUGAUUGAGUCAUUCUGUUUGGCUAUAAAAGAUACCUUCAAAGAGAAUACAGUCUUGAAAGACUGCACCAGGUGUCAUCAAUAACAAAGUGAAGAUUUGCCACUGCCAGCUUAAAAUGGUUUACGCUGCAGAGCACUUACUGUUGAUAAUAAAAGGACAAAAUUAAAACA
RNAcentral lists this long non-coding RNA (777 nucleotides) under Coturnix japonica (Japanese quail). RNAcentral describes it as "lncRNA (ENSCJPG00005014762.1)". The record is from RNAcentral. Lineage: Eukaryota; Metazoa; Chordata; Aves; Galliformes; Phasianidae.